UGACAUGGUCACUACACUAGGGGGUCGCU
This 29-nucleotide small RNA is filed under the name Bombyx mori (domestic silkworm). RNAcentral's name for it is "ovarian small RNA-31461". Lineage: Eukaryota; Metazoa; Arthropoda; Insecta; Lepidoptera; Bombycidae. The record is from RNAcentral.